GUGCAUGUGGUGGAUGCCUUGGCGAUCACAGGCGAUGAAGGACGCGGUAGCCUGCGAAAAGCUUCGGGGAGCUGGCAAACGAGCAUUGAUCCGAAGAUGUCCGAAUGGGGAAACCCGGCCCGUAUGGGUCAUCGCAUGGCUGAAUACAUAGGCCAUGUGAAGCGAACGCGGUGAACUGAAACAUCUAAGUAACCGCAGGAAAAGAAAUCAACCGAGAUUCCCAAAGUAGUGGCGAGCGAAAUGGGAAGAGCCUGUACGUGAUAGUCGGCUUGAUAGAAGAACAGAUUGGAAACUCUGGCCAUAGCGGGUGAUAGCCCCGUAUUCGAAAUCAAGUUGGUGGUACUAAGCGUACGACAAGUAGGGCGGGACACGAGAAAUCCUGUCUGAAUAUGGGGGGACCAUCCUCCAAGGCUAAAUACUCGUAAUCGACCGAUAGUGAACAAGUACCGUGAGGGAAAGGCGAAAAGAACCCCGGGAGGGGAGUGAAAUAGAUCCUGAAACCGUGUGCAUACAAACAGUGGGAGCCUCGUAAGGGGUGACUGCGUACCUUUUGUAUAAUGGGUCAGCGACUUACAUUCAGUGGCGAGGUUAACCGAAUAGGGAAGCCGUAGAGAAAUCGAGUCCGAACAGGGCGCCAGUCGCUGGGUGUAGACCCGAAACCAGAUGAUCUAUCCAUGGCCAGGUUGAAGGUGCGGUAACACGCACUGGAGGACCGAACCCACUAAUGUUGAAAAAUUAGGGGAUGAGCUGUGGAUAGGGGUGAAAGGCUAAACAAAUCUGGAAAUAGCUGGUUCUCUCCGAAAACUAUUUAGGUAGUGCCUCAAGUAUCACCGACGGGGGUAGAGCACUGUUAUGGCUAGGGGGUCAUCGCGACUUACCAAACCAUUGCAAACUCCGAAUACCGUUGAGUGCGAGCUUGGGAGACAGACGUCGGGUGCUAACGUCCGGCGUCAAGAGGGAAACAACCCAGACCGCCAGCUAAGGUCCCAAAGAUUGGCUAAGUGGAAAACGAAGUGGGAAGGCUAAAACAGUCAGGAUGUUGGCUUAGAAGCAGCCAUCAUUUAAAGAAAGCGUAAUAGCUCACUGAUCGAGUCGUCCUGCGCGGAAGAUGUAACGGGGCUAAGCCAGUCACCGAAGCUGCGGAUAUGCGUAAGCAUAUGGUAGGAGAGCGUUCUGUAAGCCUGCGAAGGUGUCUUGUAAAGGAUGCUGGAGGUAUCAGAAGUGCGAAUGCUGACAUGAGUAGCGAUAAAGGGUGUGAAAAGCACCCUCGCCGAAAGCCCAAGGUUUCCUCGCGCAACGUUCAUCGGCGCAGGGUUAGUCGGUCCCUAAGGCGAGGCGGAAACGCGUAGUCGAUGGGAAUCUGGUUAAUAUUCCAGAACCGCUCGUGAUUGCGAUGGAGUGACGGAGAAGGCUAGGUGUACCGGGCGUUGGUUGUCCCGGGGAAAGGCGGUAGGUGGAUCCUUUAGGCAAAUCCGGAGGGUCAUACACCGAGCACCGAGACGAGUCCUUUUAGGACGAAGUCACUGACGCCACGCUUCCAGGAAAAGCCUCUAAGCUUCAGUCACACGAGACCGUACCGCAAACCGACACAGGUGGGCAGGUUGAAAAUACCAAGGCGCUUGAGAGAACUCAGGAGAAGGAACUCGGCAAAUUGAUACCGUAACUUCGGGAGAAGGUAUGCCCCGGUAGCUUGUAGUCGUACAGACGAAGGGCGAUGGGGCCGCAGAGAAUCGGUGGCUGCGACUGUUUAAUAAAAACACAGCACUCUGCAAACACGAAAGUGGACGUAUAGGGUGUGACGCCUGCCCGGUGCCGGAAGGUUAAUUGAUGGGGUGCAAGCUCUUGAUCGAAGCCCCGGUAAACGGCGGCCGUAACUAUAACGGUCCUAAGGUAGCGAAAUUCCUUGUCGGGUAAGUUCCGACCUGCACGAAUGGCGUAACGAUGGCGGCGCUGUCUCCACCCGAGACUCAGUGAAAUUGAAAUCGCUGUGAAGAUGCAGUGUAUCCGCGGCUAGACGGAAAGACCCCGUGAACCUUUACUAUAGCUUUGCACUGGACUUUGAAUUUGCUUGUGUAGGAUAGGUGGGAGGCUUUGAAGCGUGGACGCCAGUCUGCGUGGAGCCAACCUUGAAAUACCACCCUGGCAACUUUGAGGUUCUAACUCAGGUCCGUUAUCCGGAUCGAGGACAGUGUAUGGUGGGUAGUUUGACUGGGGCGGUCUCCUCCUAAAGAGUAACGGAGGAGUACGAAGGUGCGCUCAGACCGGUCGGAAAUCGGUCGUAGAGUAUAAAGGCAAAAGCGCGCUUGACUGCGAGACAGACACGUCGAGCAGGUACGAAAGUAGGUCUUAGUGAUCCGGUGGUUCUGUAUGGAAGGGCCAUCGCUCAACGGAUAAAAGGUACUCUGGGGAUAACAGGCUGAUACCGCCCAAGAGUUCAUAUCGACGGCGGUGUUUGGCACCUCGAUGUCGGCUCAUCUCAUCCUGGGGCUGUAGCCGGUCCCAAGGGU
Molecule: ribosomal RNA, 2507 nt
Filed under: Paris polyphylla var. yunnanensis
Lineage: Eukaryota; Viridiplantae; Streptophyta; Magnoliopsida; Liliales; Melanthiaceae
Description: bacterial LSU rRNA
Rfam family: Bacterial large subunit ribosomal RNA
Source: RNAcentral